GAUGAACGCUGGCGGCGUGCCUAAUACAUGCAAGUCGAGCGAACGGACGAGAAGCUUGCUUCUCUGAUGUUAGCGGCGGACGGGUGAGUAACACGUGGAUAACCUACCUAUAAGACUGGGAUAACUUCGGGAAACCGGAGCUAAUACCGGAUAAUAUUUUGAACCGCAUGGUUCAAAAGUGAAAGACGGUCUUGCUGUCACCUAUAGAUGGAUCCGCGCUGCAUUAGCUAGUUGGUAAGGUAACGGCUUACCAAGGCAACGAUGCAUAGCCGACCUGAGAGGGUGAUCGGCCACACUGGAACUGAGACACGGUCCAGACUCCUACGGGAGGCAGCAGUAGGGAAUCUUCCGCAAUGGGCGAAAGCCUGACGGAGCAACGCCGCGUGAGUGAUGAAGGUCUUCGGAUCGUAAAACUCUGUUAUUAGGGAAGAACAUAUGUGUAAGUAACUGUGCACAUCUUGACGGUACCUAAUCAGGAAGCCACGGCUAACUACGUG
Molecule: ribosomal RNA, 497 nt
Filed under: uncultured bacterium
Lineage: Bacteria
Description: partial 16S ribosomal RNA
Rfam family: Bacterial small subunit ribosomal RNA
Source: RNAcentral